This 21-nucleotide non-coding RNA is filed under the name Caenorhabditis elegans. Lineage: Eukaryota; Metazoa; Nematoda; Chromadorea; Rhabditida; Rhabditidae. The record is from RNAcentral.
UACAAUUUUUAAAAAUUAACA